RNAcentral lists this long non-coding RNA (21555 nucleotides) under Capsicum annuum. RNAcentral describes it as "long non-coding RNA (CANN_LNC013249)". Lineage: Eukaryota; Viridiplantae; Streptophyta; Magnoliopsida; Solanales; Solanaceae. The record is from RNAcentral.
GCAAAUUGAAAUUGAAUGUUCAACUAGUAUUCCCUCUGUAUCAUUUUAUUUGAUCCAGUGUCAAUUAAAUUGACACAACUUUAAGUGUUUUCCUUCAUUCUUCUAGCGGUAGACACCUUCGGUUGCUUCUAUCGAUGUAGUCACAGAUAGACAAAAAAGGAAGGCCAAUUACUCAAGGAUCUAUGUUUGAUUCCAUAUUGCAAUUGUUGUUCAAUUUCAUUGAUCAAGCUACCUUAUUUUGCCUUCAUCACUGUAACCUGAAGCACCAUUAUCCUUUAGUUAUAUUUACCUCCGAAAAAAAAAACUAUCUUUCUUGAUAAUAACAGAUGGAAGUUCAGCAAAAUAUAUUAAAAGAGUAUUAUGGCAAAAUAUAGUAUAAUCUCAAUGCCAACAGUAAAGCCUAAUUAAACAUGAAAAAGAGAUGUCUGAUGCAAGAAAAAGAAGAAAAAAUAUUGAUAAUGGUAUAGAUCAGAUACAUGAAGUUAUAAUAAAGUAUUACAAAAUGUCCAUUUAUCAGCAAUGUAUAAAACAUGUGACAACUACAUAACCGACAUACUUCAAACUGCAAACCUCAUAUGAACAAAUUGUAGAAGUAUUGAAGAAUCGUAAAGUUAUUAAGAGUUAAAAGGACAGCUAAAUACUCGUCCUCCCCAUCCAAACAAUUCUACAACUACUAGCAAUAAUGUCAAUCAUUCUAAGAAAGAGUUGAUACACAAAUUUCAAACUAUUAAUGAACCUAUUCUUUUAUUUCUGAUUAAAAAUCUGAUAUUUUUUGCCAGCAAUUCUUUGCUUGUCUAUCAGAGAAUGGAUCACAAGAAAUUCAUGAUACACAAUUAUCAUGAUAAAUAACUCUUCCAUUUUUUGAAGUACAUUAAGUGAGUAAUGAACUAUAAUAAAGGCUUUUAGUGAUUUGGUAAAAUAGGAAAGACACAAAUUCUUCAGUUGUUGAUUCUUUUAAAAAACUCAUCGCAAUUUCAAGAAAAUCAUAAUAUAAUAUUGUGAAUAAUAUAUAGUUUAUAAGUUAAAAUCUUGAAUAAUCAAGAUCUUAAUCAUGUAUCUUUUCGAGUACACUUUAGGAGCUCACCACCUCUUGCAGGGAUCAAUACACAAAAUGAGCGUUUCUUUCGAAAAAUUCCCAAGCAAAUCGGGAGCCAUGACAGAGCAUAUAAGGCUUAAUAACGGUACUUUUGGUAGCCCAAAAACCGGCUCAACACCUAUUUAUUGACGACCUUUCGGAUUGUCCAUCUCAUUUCUUGAGAUCAUGGAGGACAAAUAAAAGUGUCUUGUCUUCUUUACAAAUAUUGUAUUUAGAAUUUUUCUAAAAAAAAAAUAGUUGCUAGCAAAAGCGACUUUGUGUCUACUAAUCGUCUAUCUUGAGUACAGGUACAUGUAGAAGGCAAGACCCUGACAAAUGAUUUCAGGUGAAACUAUUUUUAAUUUACCAGAAGAACCAUUGCAUGUCAUUGCCAAGAGGGCCAUUGCAUAUCAUCAUCAUUCAAUAUCUGUUGACGCGCUAGACACAAUGUUGACGUCGAGGAUAUCAUUAUCAUUCAAUAUCUGUUGACGCGCUAGAAAUAAUGCUGGCGUCGAGGAUAUCAUCAGCAGUCAAUAUAUCUGUUGACAUACAAGACACAACGCUGGCGUCGAAGAUAUCAUCAGCAUUUAAUAUAUCUGUUGACACACAAGACACAAUGCUGGUGUCGAGGAUAUCAUCAUCAUUCAAUAUCUGUUGACGCGCUAGACACAAUGUUGGCGUCGAGGAUAUCAUCAUCAUUCAAUAUCUGUUGACGCACUAGAAACAAUGCUGGCGUCGAGGAUAUCAUCAGCAUUCAAUAUAUCUGUUGACACGCAAGACACAAUGCUGGUGUCGAGGAUAUCAUCAUUAUUUUAUAUCUGUUGAGACAUAAGACAUAAAUGCUGCCAUCGAGAAUAUCUUAUCAUUUUAUGAAUCAGUAUCUGAAUGCAUCUAGAGCACACGAUUUGAAGGGAGUCCUUUAAGUCGCUAUCUAAGGAUGAAUGAUAUAUAAGAUUUCCUAAAAAUUGAUAAUUUGAGGGUCAUUUAUAAGUCAUAUUAUUUAAAAUAGGAUAGUGUUUAAGAUCACCUAUGAGUUGAUAGACUGUAGGUCAUCCGUAAGCCAUAACAACAUCCUAACCGAAUAGUAUGCAAGAUUACCCAAAAAUCGAUAGUUGAAAGGUUAUCCAUAAGUCACAACUAAAUCCCUACCGGAGAAUCUGCAAGAUUAUCAAAUUGAUAUGUCCAAGGGUUCUCUAUAAGCUGCGUCAUAUCCAAGAUCAAUUAUGUGCAGGAUUACCCAAUGACUAACAAUUUGAGGGAUUAUCUAUAAGUCAUAUUGUAUCCAAGGUCGGAUGAUGUGCAGGAACACCUGCAAGCUAGCGAUUGGAGGGAUAUCUGUAAGCCAUCUCUUAUCCAAAGUUGGAUAAUACGCAGGAUUACCUAAAAGCUAGAAACUCAAAGGAUAUCUGUAAGUCGCCUCGUAUCCAAUAUCAAAUAAUGCGCAAGAUUAUCCAAAGAUUGAUAAUUUAAAGGAAAAUUAUAAAUCGAGCAUCGGUUAUAACCGAAGAAGUUAUCAUUUCACAUACAAAAAGUGAUAUAGGUAACCAAAAGAGUUGCCACACCAGCACAAGAUUACACGGUUGCAGGGACCGUGCUGCAUAAAGUAUCGCCGGUGUCCAAAAGGGCCACCCCACUUUGAAGACAUAUUCAAUCAACAAAUGUCAUAAUUAUACAACAACCAAGAGGUUUGUCGUGUUUUUGCCAGUUAUUUCAUUCCAAACAGGUACAUAAAGAUAUGAUUCCGAUUUUCAGGCCACAACUCACGUGGAGAUAUGAUAAAAGACUACAUACCUCUUUCGUGAAUUAUGUUUAGCACUAACACUUUUUGCCUGAAGCAAUGUCGAGAGCAUCCGAGAGUAUGAAAAUCUCAAAUCAAAACCACUGGUGCGGACGACUUCAGAUAGGAUGCAACACAACGUGAAACUCUUUCUUAGCAGCAAAACGGGACAUAUUCUAAAGAGGGACGUCAAAAUCUUUGGAUGCGAGUUAAAAAAUAAUCACCACCACCAUCCAACCACAUCCCUAUUAGAAGGAAUUUGGGAAUUCUCGAAUAUUCUAGUUUCAGCUUCACCUUCGGGAUAUUCCUAAACUCAUACCGAGGGUAAACUUUGCUUUCUUUCAAAUCCGAGUGACAACACACCUAGAGUUUUGGAAAUUAUGUCUAGGUAAAUUCUUGCCUAUGGAUGUGAAGGAUCCCACAUUCAUGGUAAAGUGGUUACAAGCCUCUUUUCCACAACUCGAUCAUUAACUUGUCACUCAUCCCGAGUCAACGAUCGUUUGAAAUAGAAGACUAUCUUUUCUACCGAUCGAGUCGAACUACAAGCAGUCUGAUUCCCUAAAGUAUCGGGGAUAUGUAGGCUAGGAUCUACAUAUAAAACUCGACUGCAUUCCAACCUCCCCGUAAAUUCCUUUAUUCCCCAGCUUUUCAGUUUAUCAAAAGCUCUAAAACCGCGAUAGUUGGUGAAUUUUCUUGAAAAUCGUGCUUAAAAUCAAGCUUUAUGAACUACAAGUGGCCUGAAUUCUUAUGCAACCUGAGAUAUGUAGGAAACCUGAUAUCGAGGGUCGGCCAUAACUCCAUGGAACUCGUGUGGAAAACCAACCUCUCUUAGAUACAAAUUUAUGGUCAGACAAAAAUUAGGAACGUCAACCUCCCUUUGCCCAGGAUUACUUGCAUCCAUCCUACCCAAAGGGAGGGGACAGUUGCUGACACCUAAUUUUUACUCUCCACAACUACGUUUAAUCUCGAGUUUCUUUGAUUUUUAAUAAAAUAACAAUAUUUAUUUUAUCGAAUAAAGAAAUUUUUCAAAAGUAUUUAUCGGGGUAAUUUCAUUAUUUUAAGUAGCGAUUAUAAAUUAUCGUAUUCAGUUGUAUGAAGUUGUAAUGUUGUUACUUAAAUAUCUAUUUUUAUAAAAAUAUCGAAUUUUAAUCAAGGUUGUCUUGAAAUAAAUUAUUAUGACUAAAAUCUUGAUUUAAGUAUAAUUUAUUCUUGAAAAUGACUUAUUCGAAUAAAUAUAUGUUUGAUUUUAUCGAAUCAAGAAGCUCGGAGUUAAAUGAGAUAUUAAUCAAUUUUGAAUUUUUAUUUAAUUUGGCCAUAAUUGAAAUCAAAUUGGCCACAAUUACGAUGCAAUUGGACAAUUGAUCUUCAAUUUGUCCAAAACAUAAAUGAAUGGCCAAAUCCCCAAUUUGGACCUAAUUAGCAAAUCAGUAGAAGCCCAAUUACCCUUCAAUGGACCAUCACCAAUGGCCCAAGCCACACCAGCCCACUUCCAUUAAUAACCCGGCCCAAUUCCAUUCUCCUCUUCAAACAUAAACCAUUAGAAAAUAACAACAACGUCAACGACCUUCAUCAAUAAAGGACAACUCUUCUCAACCAUCGUAACAGUACCAACGUUAGCCCGACAAUCUCACCAUACCCGCGAACCCAUCUAACCUGUCUCUCUCUUCAACCUGACCCAUUGAUUAAGCCAUUUUCUUUGAUGAGUGUUCUAGAAACUGGACACCUCACGCACCAUAAAGCUCAAAUCCGCGAAUCUCGAUAACAAUGGUAUGAUUUCGUACAUGUAUGUCACAAUUUCAUUGGCUCUUGGCAGAAAUUCAUUUUUCCUAAAUCUUAUUGGUCCACCAAUUUUAAAAUUGGUACAAUCGGUAUAAUUUGUUGGGGGUAAUCCAAUUUUGAAAGAUUUUGAAUUCCUUUUUUUUUUUAAGUUCCUAACCUACCCCUAAUUCAUCUUCUAUAUAUAGACCCCUUGGGUCACUGUUUUGGGGGAUUUUUUUUUUGGAUUCUUGGCUCUGGGAUUCAAAAUUUUGGGUUGAAAAUUCUGGGGGUCGAAAAAUUUUAUAAGUCUGAGAAGAGAGGAAAAUUUGCUCGUUUUGAGAAAUUUUGGGUUCGAAAAAGGGGGAAAUUCUGGAAAAACAAAAGGAGACUGCUUUCAGUGAAAGUUCUUGUGUCUAAGGAAGGUUGGCGAUUGUUCAGAGUCUUUUAUUUUUUCGGAAUCACGGUGAGGUCUUCGGUAGUAGUUAAAAUUUCGUUGAAGCCUGGAGUCCCAUUUUGCUGCUACCGAACAGGUAACAUACCAUUCCUUUAAUUGUUCGAUUGCUUCUACUUCAUCUCACUAUUCUGUAGUAGUAAGUAAUUUGAGAUCAUUCUGUAUGCUGGGUUGUCUGCUGUAGAGGCCUCAAAGGCCAUACGUUUCUGUUUUUUAUUCUAUAUGCUGGGAUUUAUCUGUCUGUUUAAGAUGUCUUAAGGAUCAUAAAUUACUGUUUUAUUGAAAGACGUUUGGAUGUAUUGUUAUGUCUUAAUGCCUCAUUUUGUGUAAUACUUGUGGCUUGAAUAGUUGGCUUUUUGGUCAAAGUUUGUUGCUUUGAUUGAGUUUAAUAGUUUUAUCUUGAUGUUGUUUGUUCAUAGUUGUUACUUGACACGUAUUUUGGUUGUUAUUAUUACUGGAUGGUGUUGCAAUUAUUGAGCUAGCAGCGUCGCUAGCAAAACUACCUCUUAGGUUCCUUUGGCUUCUCAUAUGCCAAAAGGAUAACGAGCAAGGUCUAAAAUCGUAUCGAAAAAGUCCUAGGAUACCUCAACGACCGCUUCAUUAGAAUCUGUCAGAAUGGGGAGGAGGGUUGGAAUAAUAGUUAUCCUUGCUGUAGUUUGUAGGGUUGUGGUUAGUCUUAUUUUUCUCGUCCCAUUAGGACGUGAUGGGCUCUAAAUUGUUGACUUUGGAGGUUCUAUUUUCCCUUUCUCAUUUGAGUUUCCCGGUUAUAUAUAUUCGUUAUGGGAAUACAUGCGAGGUUUUCAUUUAUGAAUCUUGUAGAUUGUCGAUUUUGAUUAGUGAUAGUGUCGACUUGGGCUUAUUUGUGGAGGGUUUUCUUUUAUGUUUAUAUUUUUAUCUUUCUUCUCGAUUAUUGUUUCAAAAAAAAAAUGUUUGGGUGUAAUCCCUUAUCUCUUAUUUAAAGUCAUUUGAGAAAUUGUUGAAAUUAGUUUAGCUGGUUUGUGUUUGAAGUAAAAGUUUUGUUAAAUCUCUUUGGUUUACGAUGUCUAAGAGGCUUAACGAAAUUAAAAACCUGCGUUCUUGUGAAAACAGAACUAAAAGGGAAAUGUUCAUGAUAUGUUCUCGCCUUUGAAAGUUCUUAUGCCAAAUCUUUCUGUGGGUAUUGUUUGGUCCAAGAGCUUUUAUUCCUGUUCAUGGAAAUUUUCACUGAUUCACUUUUGUGUUUCUUUUGGAAACUGAAAAGGGGAUUAGAACAACUAUUGAGGCAUUGAGUUUGGAAUUUUAUGAGCUUAGACGUGAGGUUUGAAUUGCUUUUAUGUGUUCAUGCGAUUUUAAAUUUGUAUUAGGAUUGUAUAAUGAAUGUUUGUUACAUAUAAUCCUUGCUGACACUUAUUCAUAAACACGAGAUAGCAGAUUUUGGCUUCUCUUUGUGUUUCACUUUAUAUUUUGAACAUGCUCUCGAAAUAAAAAUUGCUAAUACACAAUUAUAACCUCUUUCAAGUAGUAAACUGAAUUGUAUUAAGUAACAGUAAGGUGGAGGCAACAUUCCAAAGAGAAUGUGUUAAAUUAUGUGGUAUCUUGUUCUUUUCCUAUGCUGCCAUCACUCUAUUUUAUUUUAUUUUAUUUUAUUUUAUCUUGUCCCUUUGCCAUUACUCAUAUCACUAUGACUUAUUGAGUGAUGUUUAAAUUUAUCAAAUUAUGUGAUUCAGAUUCUAAUUUCUUGCCUUUUCUUCCUUCACAUGUCAAUUUGCAUUGGAGUCCACAAUAGACUCCUUCCUAUCGCAUUAUCAAGUGGGCCAGUGAGGCCUAUAUCCUCAAGGAUCAAUUCCCGAAGUGAUUCUAUGGCACUCCAGUUAGAAGAUAGAAGCAGAUAGUGGGCCCAAGAUCAUUGACAAAGUUACUAGGAUUUGGAAGCACAAAAAGUCUCAUCUUCUUUAGUUUAUUUAGCGUUGAGUUGAUUGUUUUUUAUUCAUUUAGUUGUUUAUUUAUGCAUUCAUUCGGGCCACGAAGCCAAGGUUGUAUCUAAUACAGGUGGAGUAAGAUUCGAGCCAAAUGCUCGACAAUUAGAUUAGGACAAGUGAAAUGGGUCGAAAGCCCAAUUAGACUAGGGCAGGUCUCGUUGAUUUAGGACCAAUGGCCUAAAUCCUUUACUUUCUCCUCCCUUCCCCUUUUAAUUGUUUAUUUGUUUAUCAGUUUUGUUUUGACUUAGUGAAAAUCCCUACUAAGUCGCCUAAAUCUAUUUUACACAUUUUUUUUUAAAAUCAAAUCACUAUUUCAACAAAUUAAUCUUUUCAGAAGUUAAUCAAAAGAUGUUUUCAAACAGUCAGGAUAACCGCAAGUUAGCGGAUGUUUUAGGUGCAUAACACCUUCCUAAAACGUUAAUAGGAACCGCUUAUCUAGAAUCUCUAACUUAAAAUGAUUUUUUUAUUUUGAAUCGUUUGAAGUAACUCUCUAAAGGUUUCUUAAUUCCUUUUCAAAAUUAAGUGGCGACUCUCUCAAAAAAUCAAAAAAUUUCACAAAACAGAAAUGGUGACUCUGCUGGGGAUUGAUUAACUAGGUUCUAACCAAAUAUUUAAUUUCGUCUUUUGAUUAACUGUUUAUGUAUUUAUAUGUUUCGAUUCUGUAAAGUUUAAUUAUCAUAUAUCAUGGCAUAUUCCUACAUUAUUUAAACUGUUUUGGGGUUUCGUGGAGUCCCGACCCCUAUUGUUCAAUUUCAAUAAUGUGUUGGAAAUACGAAUAGCUUAUUAUCACGUGAGUUGUCUGAUGGCUAUUCGUAUUUUCAAACUCAAGUUAUCCACUUGAGAACCAGUGUUCAAACCCACUCUAGACACCUAGGAUAGAACGAAAUCAAAACCUUAUUUUAGGCAUGAGCCUAGGACGACUCAAUACCCGAGCGGGGUAUUGGACCCAUUAGAAAACCUGCCCUGCAUUUAUUGACCCCAAGUAAAUUAUAGACGAAUCAUAUUUAUGUAUUGAAGAAAAUGUAUGCCUAUGUAAUUCAAUCCAUUAUCCUUUGGGGGUUGGGAAAACGCUUGAUUUGCUUAUUUCGUAAGAAGAAUUGAAGCAAGUUAAGAAAGAAAUUGAUCGAUUUGGGAGGUUGCAUCUAAGGCCCAGUUUAUAGAUGUCACCAAUAUAGGAAAUGGACAAAGCUAAGAAGGCGAAGGCUGAUAGAAGAAGCACUCAGGAAUUAGUAUUUUCUAUCCCCUGCGUGGGAGCUUAUCUUCUUUCAUUUUAUUUCCCUUUUUCCCUAAAGAUUGUAUCCCUCUUUUGUGAUCGUUUGUAGGUAUUUAUGCCCUUUUCAUGUCUAUAUAAGUUGGGGAUAAUGGAUUGACUUUAAGGAAGCAUAUAUUUUCUUCAAAAUCAUUAGGCCUGAGCCCUUGGCUCAAAAAGGGUCACCCCAGUUAGGAUACGCAUUAUUAUAAUGUUUUGUGUAAUAUAAUUGUCUUAGAUUCUUAUGUGUGUUUGUUUGGAUCAAAGGCAAGUUUAUCCGCUAUGCUCCUAUGGAUGAAUUUGGCUAUGACUCAAACAACUCUACGUGAUUAUUUCUUGUCAAAUAUUUUGCAUUACUUAUCACAUACGGAAACUAACACAUCUACCUUUGAAUUGUUUUACUUUACAGAUAAUAGAAAAAUACUCUGUGUUGAUAUAAGCUGGCAGAGCAUCCCUAUUUCACCCGGUCAAAAGCACACAAAAUCCCAUUCUCUGACCAUCAUUCAAUAAUGACUGGAAAUGACGAAGAAAAUACAUUGACCAUCAGGGAUGAUAUAAUAGCGGAACAGAGUAAGAUGAUUGUGGAACUCGAAAGAAAAUUAGAAAUGCUUUAGGAGGAAAUAAAUCGCACUCAAGAUUUGGCUAACCUGGCCAUCACUAUCAAUGCUCCCGCUCCAGGAGGACACGGGACUCCACUCCAAAUCCUUUCCCUCAGUACGCCUAUUCUCGGGGAUUAGCCAAAUAACAUAUUGUCCGUCUCUACCUCUCUACUUGUCCAAAAUACCAAUCGCAAAAAUAACCCGGAUGCCUACCAUCCACAAAAUCGAUCUCUAACAUUACGAAACCCAUCUCUGAAUCCAUUCCCAAAUCCCUAUAACACAUUUUCAAAUCAAGGAAAUUCAUUUUCAAAUCCACAAGAUUCGUUCCCAAACCCGCAAAAUCCAUCAAAUCUAUCCUCGAAUCCACCAAAUUCGAUUCCAAAUUUGUAGAAUUCUUCUCAGAUUCCACCAAACUACUCGUAAAUUCAACAGAACCUUUCCAAUUUCUAAAACGUUCGCCCCACCUACCAACCAACUUUCUUUCUUCCUCAAAAUCAAGCCUCUCUUCCAAAUCCUCCUCAUGCCAUCAUAUCCCCUGACAUCUAUAAUCCCCUUUCUAAUCCCGAGAUCGACCAUUAUGAGGAGAAGGAGAAAGAGUGGAGGACCGAGCAUGAAAUAAAAGUGCUAGCUAUGAAUGAAGAGAUCAUGAAGAUAAAAGAAUCUCAUGGAGUGAGAGACCACGAUGGUUUAGGUUAUGAUGAUUUAUGUGUUCACCUUGGAAUAGAUCUACCAGAAGGGUAUAAGGUCCCUAAAUUUAAAGUGUUCGAUGGCAUCGAAAAUUCAAUGGCCCAUCUGAGAAGGUAUUGUGAUCAAAUAGUGGGGGUAGGGAAAAAUAAAGCAUUAUUGAUGCGUUUGUUCAGCGGGAGUUUAAGUGGCGAAGCCUUAGAAUGGUUCAUAUCUCAGGAACUGAAAAGAUGGACUGGUUGGAAAGCAUUGGCCAAGGGUUUUCUUGACAGGUUCGCAUUUAACAUUGAGAUAGUCCCUGACCGAUACUCACUAGAUCGGAUCAAACAGAAGAAUAAUGAGUGUUUUUGAGACUACACUUUUCGUUGGAGAAAAGAGGCUGCUAAAGUACAACCUUCCAUGUCUGAGAAAGAAAUAGUAUCGAUUUUCUCUCACGCACAGGAAAGAGAAUUUUAUACCAGGAUGGUAUCCGCGGUCCGAGAAACUUUGGCAGAUUUAGUAAAGAUUGGGGAAUCAUUAGAGGAAGGCAUCCAAACAGAAAAGAGAGGAUGCGACUGCAGUCUCUACUAAUUCUGUUGAUAAGCUAAAGAGGAAAUUCAAGCCUAGAAAUAUUCUUUCUUCAUCAUCCUCAUCAAGUUUUCAGCCUGUAUUCUAUGCUCAACUCCAAUGUCAAGCUCCAAUUCCAAAUAUUUUACCCCAGUUCCAAUUUCCACAACCAAAUUAUCAGCCUCAUGCUCAAGCUAUUUUUUAAAAUAACCAAAUAAACGUCCAAACAUCUCCAAAUUAUCAUCAAGUACCUCCUCCUAUAAAUCAGAACCAUUAUAAAUCUCCACAUCCAAACUUCAAAAAGAAACCUCCCCGAAACUUCACGCCGCUAGCUAAAAGUCGUACCUAGCUCUUUGGAAGAUUGAUGAAAGCUGGUUAUUUGCAACCAAUCCAGCCAAAGCCUAUCAAUCCCAACUCCCAGUUUUAUCAUCCCGAUCAAAAUUGUGCCUAUCAUUCAGGAGCAGCGGGACACAAUAUCGAGGAUUUUAUUAACUUUAAACAUAAGAUCCAAGAUUAGAUCGAUCAGAAGGUCAUCACACUUCAGUCGCCGACACCAAAUAUUAAUAGUAAUCUAUUGCCUAACCAUGGGGGACCUAAAGUUAACAUGAUUGAAAUAGAUGGUGAAUGGGUGUCUAGCAGGGUCAUCACUAAGGUAAAUUUAGAAGGACUCAAAAGAACAGAAAAGAUGGAGAAGAUAGAGAAAGUUGUGACUGCCUUAAGUAAGGAUUUGGAAGGAAUUAUUGAGCCUGUUAUGGUCCUAGAAAAAGAAUUUAAGCAUGGAAUAGAGUUCCAGCCAAGAAAAGAAGAUGGGAUUGAAGAUAAUUCAAAGGAAAAUCCAUCUAAACCAUCGCCACUCCUGCACCAAUCAUUUCCCGUACAUGAGAUGUCAAAUGAUGAUGGUCUUAAGGAUGGGAUAGGAAAUCAGUUUGAGGGAUGCAAUGAUGUACUAGAAGAUUUUUCAAAGCUAGUGAGAUAAAGAAGGUUGCACCAGAAGAGGCUUUACAAAAUUGGACUUCCACUCCACUCCUAAUUCGUCGCCCAUCGUGGUAGAUGAAAGGGCAAUUACUAAUAGUUUAAAAUCGGUGAUGAUCCGGAGGAGGCCCCGUGAUCCACCCUUUUAUGUCUCAAAUCUUUGUUUCGUGUUUUACAACUUUCAAAAAGGCAUGGGCCCACAUAUGUGUGGGUCAUAAGCCAUAGUUUUUAUUUAUUUUCCAAAAGGCCUCCCUUUAUUUAAGAAGUUAUUUUUUAAAUAUGAUUAUCUAGCAUGGUUUAUUUUGGUAGCAAUAAUUUAAAAACCUGCCAAUGUCAUGUCAUGUCAAGGGUUAGACGAGCAAGGCGAAGGAAAUAAUGAUAAAUAAAAAAGGUGAUGAGGAGCGGUUAGUAGUAGAUAUAGAGGAAUGUGAAAAUCAAAAUAAGCCCAACCUGGAGGAGCCCUAAUCCUACCUGAGAUGAAUGGUCAAGAGUGGACCAAACCAAUCAAUUCUGAUGCGGUAAAGAUAUAUCAUGCUUGAAAAAUAUUAUUGUUUUUAUUUCUUGGCUUAUUUGUAUUUGCCUUUAUAAUAGUAUCAAUUUUAUGAUGAGUAAUUACAUAGAAUCCUUCCCUUUAUGAACGAACUACGUUUGACCUGAAUUCUUAAGAAAGGGAUACGUAGGAGGCCUAUGUCGGCUUCGGUCAAUCCCUUAGAAAAAUUUAUCAUUUCCCUCUAUGUAUGAGCUACGUGAUGACCUGAAUUCUCAAGAUUGAGAUAUGUAGGCGGCCUAUGUCGGCUUCGGUCAACCCAUUAGAUUUUUUUAUAUAUAUCCCUAGCGUAGUCUUGAACUAUGUUUGACCUGAUUCCUACUUCAACGGGAUACGUAGGCGCCCCAACGACUCGGUCACAUAACCCUAAGAAAUAGAAAUUGGGGUAGAAUUUUCGAGAAUGAAUCUCAAAAAUUCAUAAGAGAAAAUCAACAAAGAGAAUGAAGACCAACAAAGACUUCAGAUUUACUCGAAAUGAUAUCAUCUCACAUUACUUUAAACUGGGGCAGAAAAUUUGAGGAAGGCCUCAAAAUCUCCACCAAAUAUUGAAAUAUAUUUCGAAUUCCCCAGCAAUAGAGGUCGAAAUUGAGAUUUGAGGAUCGUCACCUGCGAUAAAGUCUAGGAAGAUUGAAUCUCCACCUUUGAUAAAACUUCUAGAGAGAGCCUUGACAAUGCUGAAUCCCUAAAAAUCCUCCGUCAAACGUCAAACAUUGUCAAAAUCAAGAAAAAGACGGUCGUUGAGCUAGCACAUGACAUGAAUGACAGAGAUUUUUCAAAGUUUUGUAGGAGUUCUCGAAACUAUUUUCUAAAAAAUUAAGAGUACUUUCAAAAAAAUCUAUAUAAAUCUUUUACUUAGUGAUUGCCUAGAUAUCAAUUAGGACGGAGAGUCAAGGGUGGAAGUCCCAACAUGAUGAAAUACCUGAAAGAUGGAGAGGGCAAAUCAAGGAUCGUAGGAGGUCAAUACGGAGUAGUUUUAUUCAAACUACUCAUUUUUUAUGGAUGCAGGGAUCGAUACACAAAAUGAGAGUUUCUUUCGAAAAUCCCCAAGCAAGUCGAGAGCCAUGACAGAGCAUAUAAGGCUUAAUAACGGUACUUUUGGUAGCCCAAAAACCGGCUCAACACCUAUUUAUUUAUGACCUUUCGAAUUGUCCAUCUCAUUUCUGGAGAUGAUGGAGGACAAACAAAAUUGUCUUGUCUUCUUUACAAAUUUUGUAUUUAGAAUUUUUCUAAAAAAAAAAAUAGUUGCUAGCAAAAGAGACUUUGUGUCUACUAAUCGUCUACCUUGAGUAUAGGUACAUGUAGAAAGCAAGACCCUGAUAAAUGAUUUCAGGUGAAACUGUUUUUAAUUUAUGGAAGAACCAUUGCAUGUCAUUGCCAAGAGGGUCAUUGCAUAUCAUCAUCAUUCAAUAUCUGUUGAUGCACUAGACACAACGCUGAUAUCGAGGAUAUCAUCAAUAUUCAAUAUAUCUGUUGACACACAAUACACAAUGCUGGCGUCGAGGAUAUCAUCAUCAUUCAAUAUAUGUUAACGCGCUAGACACAACGCUGGCGUCAAGGAUAUCAUCAGCAUUUAAUAUAUCUGUUGACACGCAAGACACAACACUAGCGUCGAGGAUAUCAUCAUUAUUCAACAGCUUUUGAUGCGUUAAACACAAUGUUGGCAUUGAGGAUAUCAUCAGCAUUUAAUAUAUCUAUUGGUACGCAAGACACAAUGUUGGCGUCGAGGAUAUGAUCAUCAUUCAAUAUCUGUUGAGCUCUAGACACAACAUUGGCAUCGAGGAUAUCAUCAUCAUUCAAUAUCUGUUGACGCGCUAGACACAACACUGCCGUCGAGGAUAUCAUCAGUAUUCAAUAUAUCUAUUGACAUGCAAGACACAACGCUGGUGUCGAGGAUAUCAUCAUCAUUUUAUAUCUGUUGACACAAAAGACAUAAACGCUGGCAUCGAGAAUAUCUUAUCAUUUUAUGAAUCAGCAUCUAAAUGCAUCUAGAGUACAGGAUUUGAAGGGAUACCUUUAAGUCGCUAUCUAAGGAUGAAUGAUAUAUAAGAUUUAAUAGAAAUUGACAAUUUGAGGGUCAUCUAUAAGUCAUAUUAUUUGAAAUAGGAUAGUGUUCAAGAUCACCUAUGAGUUGAUAGCCUGUAGGUCAUCCGUAAACCACAACAACAUCCUAACCGGAUAGUGUGCAAGAUCGCCCAAAAAUCGAUAGUUCAAAGGUUAUCCAUAAGUCAUAACUAAAUCUUUACCGGAGAAUAUGCAAGAUUAUCAAAUUGAUACUUCCAAGGGUUCUCUAUAAGCCGUGUCAUAUCCAAGAUCAAUUAUGUGCAGGAUUACCCAAAGACUAACAAUUUGAGGGAUUAUCUAUAAGUCAUAUUGUAUCCAAGGUCGGAUGGUGUGCAGGAACACCUGAAAGCUUGCAAUUGAAGGGAUAUCUGUAAGCCAUCUCUUAUUCAAAGUCAGAUAAUGUACAGGAUUACCUAAAAGCUAGAAACUCAAAUGAUAUCUGUAAGUCGCCUCGUAUCCAAUAUCAAAUAAUGCGCAAGAUUAUCCAAAGAUUGACAAUUUAAAGAAAAUUUAUAAAUCGAUCCUUGGCUAUAAUCGGAAAGGUUAUCAUUCCACAUACAACAAGUGAUAUAGGUAACCAAAAGGGUUGCCACACCAACACAAGAUUACAUGGUUGCAAGGACCGUGCUGCAUAAAGCAUCGCCAGUGUCCAAGAGGGUCACCCCACUUUGAAGACAUAUUCAAUCAACAAAUGUCAUAAUUAUACAACAACCAAGAGGGUUAUUGUGUUUUUGCCAGUUAUUUCAUUCCAAACAGGUACAUGAAGACAUGACUCUGAUUUUCAGUCCAUAACUCACGUAGAGAUAUGGUAUAAGACUACAUACCUAUUUCGUGAAUUAUGUUUAGCACUAAUACUUUUUGCUUGAAGCAACGUCGAGAGCAUCCGAGAGGAAAAAAAUCUCAAAUCAAAACCACAGGUAUGGACGACUUUAGAUAGGAUGCAGCACAACGUGGAACUCUUUCUUAGCAGCAAAACGGAACAUAGUCUAAAGAGGGACGUCAAACUCUUUGGACGCGAGCUAAAGGAUGAUCACCACCACCAUCCAACCACAUACCUGUUAGAAGGAAUGUGGGAAUUAUGGGAUAUUCUGAUUUCAGUUUCACCUUCGGGAUAUUCCUAAACUCAUACCGAGGGUAAACUUCGCUUUCUUUCAAAUUCGAGUGACAACACACCUAGAGUUUUGGAAAUUAUGUCUAGGUAAAUUCUUGCCUAUGCUUGUGAAGGUUAGAAACCUCUUUUCCACAACUCGAUCAUUAACUUUUCACUCAUCCUGAGCCAAAGAUCGUCUGAAAUAGAAGACUAUCUUUUUUACCGAUCGAGUCGAACUACAAGCAGUCUGAUUCCCUAAAGUCUUGGGGAUAUGUAGGAUGGGCUCUACGUAGAAAACUCGACUACAUUCCAACCUCCCCCCAAAUCCCUUUAUUCCCCAGCUUCUCGGUUUAUCAAAAGCUCUAAAAUCGCGAUAGUUGGUGAUUUUUCUUGAAAAUCAUGCUUAAAAUCAAGCUUUAUGAACUACAAGUGGCCUGAAUUCUCAUGUAACCUGAGAUAUGUAGGAAACCUAAUACCGAGGGUCGUUCAUAACUCCAUGGAACUCGUGCGGAAAACCAACAUCUCUUAGAUACAAAUUUAUAGUUGGACAAAAAUUAGGAACGUCAACCUCCCUUUGCCCAGGAUUACUUGCAUCCAUCCUACCCAAAGGGAGGGAGCAUUUGUUGACACCUAAUUUUUACCCUCCACAACUACGUUUAAUCUCGAGUUUUUUUUUAUUUUUAAUAAAAUAACAAUAUUUAUUAUAUCGAAUAAAGAAACUUUUCAAAAGUAUUUACCGGGGUAAUUUCGUUAUUUUAAGUAGCGAUUAUAAAUUAUCGUAUUCAGUUGUAUGAAGUUGUAAUGAUGUUACUUAAAUAUCUAUUUUUAUAAAAAUAUCGAAUUUUAAUCAAGGUUGCCUUGAAAUAAAUUAUAAUGACUAAAAUAUUGAUUUAAGUAUAAUUUAUUCUUGAAAAUAACUUAUUCGAAUAAAUAUAUGUUUGAUUUUAUCGAAUCAAGAAGCUCGGAGUUAAAGGAGAUAUUAAUCCAUUUCAAAUUUUCAUUUAAUUUGACCAUAAUUGAAAUCAAAUUGGCCAUAAUUGUGAUGCAAUUGGCCAAUUGAUCUUCAAUUUGGCCAAAACAUAAAUUAAUGGCCAAAUACCCAAUUUGGACCCAAUUAGCAAAUCAGUAGAAGCCCAAUUACCCUUCAAUGGACCAUCACCAAUGGCCCAAGCCACACCAGCCCACUUCCAUUAAUAACCCGGCCUAAUUCCAUUCUCCUCUUCAAACAUAAACCAUCAGAAAACAACAACAACGUCAACAACCUUCAUCAAUAAAGGACAACUCUUCUCAACCAUCGCAAUAGUACCAACAUUAGCCCGGCAAUCUGGCCAUACCCGCGAACCCAACUAACCCGUCUCUCUAUUCAACCCGACUUGUCGAUUAAGCUAUUUUGUUUGACCAGAGUUCUAGAAACUGGACACCUCACACACCACAACGGCUCAAAUCCGCGACUCUCGAUAACAAUGGUACGAUUUCGUACAUGGAUGUCACAAUUUCAUUGGUUCUUGACAGAAAUUCAUUUUCCCUAAAUCUUAUUGGUCCACCAAUUUCAAAAUUGGUACAAUCGGUAUAAUUUGUUGGGGGUAAUCCAAUUUUGAAAGAUUUUGAAUUCCUUUUUUUUUUUAAGUUCCUAACCUACCCCUAAUUUAUCUUCUAUAUAUAGACCCCUUGGGUCACUAUUUUGGGGGAUUUUUUUUGGGGAUUCUUGGCUCUGGGGUUCAAAAUUUUAGGUUGGAAAUUCGGGUUGAAAAUUUUGGGGGUCAAAAAAUUUUAUAAGUCUGAGAAGAGAGGGAAAUUUGCUUGUUUCUACGGGGGGGGGGGGGGGGGGGGGGGUUAGAGAAAUUUUGGGUUCGAAAAAGGGGAAAAUUUUGGAAAAAUAAAAGGAGACUGCUUUCAGUGAAAGUUCUUGUGUAUAAGGAAGGUUGGUGAUUGUUCAGAAUCUUUUAUUUUUUUGGAAUCACGGUAAGGUCUUCCGAUGGUAGUUGAAAUUCUGUUAAAGCCUAGAGUCCCGUUUUGUUGCUCCGAACAGGUAACAUCUCAUUCCUUUAAGCUUCGAUUGUUUCUGCUUCAUCUCACUAUUCUGUAGUAGUAAGUAAUUUAAGAUCAUUCUGUAUGUUGGGUUGUUUACUGGAGAGGCCUCAAAGGCCAUACGUUUCUCUUCUUUAUUCUAUAUGCUGGGAUUUAUCUGUCUGUUGAAGAUAUCUUAAGGAUCAUAGAUUACUGUUUUAGUGAAAGUUGUUUGGAUGUAUUGUUAUGCCUUAAUGCCUCAUUUUGUGUACUGCUUGUGGCUUGAAUAGUUGGCUUUCUGGUCAAAGUUUGUUGCUUUGAUUGAGUUUAAUAGUUUUAUCCUGAUGUUGUUUGUUCAUAGUUGUUACUUGACACGUAUUUUGGUUGUUAUUAUUACUAGAUGGUGUUGCAAUUAUUGAGCUAGCAGCGUCGCUAGCAAAACUACCUCUCAGGUUCCUUUGGCUUCUCAUAUGCCAAAAGGAUAAUGAGCAAGGUCUAAAAUCGUAUCAAAAAUGUCCUAGGAUACCUCAACGACCGCUUCAUUAGAAUCUGUCGGAAUGGGGAGGAGGGUUGGAAUAAUAGUUAUCCUUGCUGUAGUUUGUAAGGUUGUGGUUAGUCUUAUUUUUCUCGUCCCAUUAGGACGUGAUUGGCUCUAAAUUGUUGACUUUGGAGGUUCUAUUUUCCCUUUCUCAUUUGAGUUUUUGGGUCAUAUAUAUUCGUUAUGGGAAUACAUGCGGGGUUUUCAUUUAUGAAUCUUGCAGAUUGUCGAUUUCGAUUAGUGAAAAUGUCGACUUGGGCUUAUUUGUGGAGGGUUUUCUUUUAUGUUUCUAUUCUUAUCUUUCUUCUCGAUUAUUGUUUCAAAAAAAAAAGGAGUAAUCCCUUAUUUCUUAUUUAAAGUCAUUUGAGAAAUUGUUGAAAUUAGUUUAGCCGGUUUGUGUUUAAAGUAAAAGUUUUGUUAAAUCUCUUUGGUUUACGAUGUCUAAGAGGCUUAACGAAAUUGAAAACCCGAGCUCUUGUGAAAACAGAACUAAAAGGGAAAUGUUCAUGAUAUGUUCUCUCCUUUGAAAGUUCUUAUGCCAAAUCUUCCUAUGGGUAUUGUUUGGUCCAAGAGCUUUUAUUCCUAUUCAUGAAAAUUUUCACUGAUUCACUUUGUGUUUCUUUUGGAAACUGAAAAGGGGAUUAGAACAACUAUUGAGGCAUUGAGUUUGGAAUUUUAUGGGCUUAGACGUGAGGUUUGAAUUGCUUUUAUGUGUUCAUGCGAUUUUAAAUUUGUAUUAGGAUUGUAUAAUGAAUGUUUGUUACGUAUAGUCCUUGCUGACACUUAUUCAUAAACACGAGAUAGCAGAUUUAUGCUUCUCUUUGUGUUUCACUUUAUAUUUUGAACAUGCUCUCGAAAUAAAAACUGCUAAUACACAAUUAUAACCUCUUUCAAGUAGUAAACUGAAUUGUAUUAAGUAACAGUAAGGUGGAGGCAACAUUCCAAAGAGAAUGUGUUAAAAUUAUGUGGUAUCUUGUUCUUUUCCUACGCUGCCAUCACUCUAUUUUAUUUUAUUUUAUCUUGUCCCUUUUCCAUUACUCAUAUCACUAUGUCUUAUUGAGUGAUGUUUAAAUUUAUCAACUUAUGUGAUUCGAAUUCUAAUUUCUUGCCUUUUCUUCCUUCACAUGUCAAUUUGCAUUGGAGUCCACAAUAGACUCCUUCCUAUCGCAUUAUCAAGUGGGCCAGUGAGGCCUAUAUCCUCAAGGAUCAAUUCCCGAAGUGAUUCUAUGGCACUCCAGUAAGAAGAUAGAAGCAGAUAGCGGGCCCAAGAUCAUUGACAAAGUUACUAGGAUUUGGAAGCGCAAAAAGUCUCAUCUUCUUUAGUUUAUUUAGCGUUGAGUUGAUUGUUUUUUAUUCAUUUAGUUGUUUAUUUAUGCAUUCAUUCGGGCCACGAAGCCAAGGUUGUAUCUAAUAUAGGUGGAGCAAGAUUCGAGCCAAAGGCUCAACAAUUAGAUUAGGAUAUGUGAAAUGGGUCGAAAGCCCAACUAGAUUAGAGCAGGUCUCGUUAAUUUAGGCCCAAUGGCCUAAAUCCUUUACUUUCUCCUCCCUUCCCCUUUUAAUUGUUUAUUUGUUUAUCAGUUUUGUUUCAACUUAGUUAAAAUCCCUACUAAGUCGCCUAAAUCUAUUUUACACAAGUCCUUUUUUUUUUUUAAAUCAAAUCACUAUUUCAACAAAUUAAUCUUUUCAGAAGUUAAUCAAAAGAUGUUUUCAAACAGUCCGGAUAAUCGCAAGUUAGCGGAUGUUUAGGUGCCUAACACCUUCCUAAAAUGUUAAUAGGAACCGCUUAUCUAGAAUCUUUAACUUAAAAUGAUUUUUCUGUUUUGAAUCGUUUGAAGUAACUCGCUAAUGGAUUCUUAAUUCCUUUUCAAAAUUAAGUGGCGACUCUCUCAAAAAGUAAAAAAUUUUUGUCAAAAAACACCCCCCGUAGAGUCGUCUUAUAUAUAUACACAAAGAGAUGAGAAACAACCUACCAAAGUAAUUUCACCAAAAAUAAAUAUUAGUAUUGUCCAAAUCCUUACAUAUUUCAAAGAUUAAAAGAACAAUCAUAAGAAUUGCCAAUUACAAAAACAAUAAUAUAACUAGUAUAAUUUCAUAAAUGGGUCCAUAACGAGAUUGAACCUUUUCAAUGAAGAGAAAAAAAGAAAACAUUAAAAAAUUAGAUUAGCUUGAGUGAAAUUCACCUUCAGAAUUGGUAGAGAAGACAGGAGAAAUACAAAGAAUGGCUUGAAACAAGAAGAGAAAGGAGGAAGGAAAAGCCAUUGAGAGAAAAUGGAGAAACAAUGGAAGUGAAAAGUCAAGAUCAAUAGACGAAAAGAUGAAAGGCUCCCGUAGCCGUCGUCUUAUAUAUAUGAAAGAAGAUGGCGGACCAGUUUGAAUGAAGAGACUUGUUGAUUAUCUUCAUUGAUUCUCAAAUCAGAUAUUAAAAAAAUUAAUUAGAAGAUGGAGAAGUUAAUUAUCUUUACUGAUUCUCAAAUCAGAUAUAAAAAAAAUAAUUAGAAAAUGGAGAAGAUAAUGGAGUAAAGAUGAAAGAGCGGGUGGGGUGGAGGGUUGAAGGGGGACCAGUUUUUAUUUUUAUUUUUAUUUUUUUAAAAAACUUAUACUAAUUAAUUUUUAAUAAUUAUUGGACCUACAAUGCCAUGUGUCAUCUUCCAAUUAGCCCUUUAUGCCAUGUAAUAGCAAGUGUAUUACACACACUUUAUAAUUUUUGAUAAAUAUUCGAUAGUGCCUACUAGGAACAAUUUUCUAUACGGUAUAAGUGUUUAAUAGGAACCAGUCUUAGUUGAGGGGUUUAAGUAAAUUUUUGGGACAACUUUAAGUGCAUUUCGAUGACUUAAGCCAUAAAAAAUACAAUCAAGCAAGGAUUCAUGCUAAGCAUUAUCAUCCAUCAGAAAAUCUUUACUAUUAAAGCAUCAAUAUGUGUACCAACUAAAUAAGCCUCUGUAACUUUAAUAAAUUCUUGUCUAAAUCACAAAAUUUAGCCGUAUCUGUAUCAAACUACAACUAAACACUUAAGGUAUAGACGUUUUUCAAAUGCCCACAUGUAUAUCAUGGGAAAAUAGACUUUUUUGUCCCUCCUCCAGGAAAUCACCUCACAGUUUUCUGAAUUUUAGUCAUAAUUCACUUGCACCAAAGGAUCAACACUAACAAAGCAAAUAUUUUCUACUUUCCUUUGCUCUUUAUCUAAAUAAAUAUUCCUGAUAUGAUCGUUAAAUUCUCCUCACUUGGGCCAUUUAUUUGAAAGUUAAGUACAUAUAUGCACAUUUUAGAUGAAAAAAGUUCCUCUUUUUAGAUGGUGUACGUGUACACCAAGUGAAAGACCGAACGAAUUAAAAUGACAAAUAUUCCCUUGAAAAGAAUUUAAAUGACAAGUAGCAGCCAUGUAGAUCUUCUAAUUCUUACUCACACUUCUAAUAUAGUAGAAAAAUGCAUGUAUAAACUAUUAAAGCUAGCAAUUACUUAGAAACAAUUCAUAAAUAAAAUAUGAAACUAUUUAUAGCAACAGAGCAGUUUUAUAGAACAAACACAGUUGCUUACCCAAGUAAAAUUAAUUUUCGACAAUGUCUGUAUAAUAUAUAUCAUAUAAACUACAGUUAGUUUCUAGCUAUAACUUCAUAGAUUUAUUUGCAUUUUCAAUAGAACAAUCAUGAGUUUCUCUGUAAAAAAAAAAAAAAAAGAAAUCAUAGACAGUUCAGUAACCUUUGUUUGCGAAAAUAGAGUAUUAACCCUCUUCGCCUAAACACAAAAGUUCACUAAAAGAUUGAAAGAAGCAUUGACCAUAUGUAAUAUUUUCAUCUUCUAGUCUCACCAUAAAAUGUGACACCAUUGUAUUGAGAACUCCGAAAUCAGGAGCGACGACAUCUUAUGAUAAUUACACAUAAAUCACGAAACAGAAUUUUUAAUUUCAUCAAGAAAAAAACGAAAGUGGGCAUCUCAUCAAAUACGUUGGAUGCAUACCACAAAUAAAACUUUUGGAGUCUCAAGCAACAAAUAAAAUUCUAUAAUGAAAUCAAAUGUGAUACAUAAAAAUUAUAUUAUAAGAAGAAGAAAAUACACCAGAAAAUAGAGGUACAUCAAUAAUCUGUUAGUUCAUUCUUGUCACACUUUCUGAAACUCUACCCUUUUAUAUAUCUUGAGCAAUUUAAAAAGAACUAAGAGAAAAUUAAAGCAAAAAUAGAUAAAACUUACCUGCAAUUGCAAGAGAAGAUGAAGAGAACUACAUGUUUGUAAGGAAAAGCAAAUGGCG